This 459-nucleotide ribosomal RNA is filed under the name uncultured bacterium. RNAcentral's name for it is "partial 16S ribosomal RNA". It matches the Rfam family "Bacterial small subunit ribosomal RNA", at positions 338 to 795 of the family's 1533-position model. The record is from RNAcentral.
CCUACGGGAGGCAGCAGUGAGGAAUAUUGGUCAAUGGGCGUAAGCCUGAACCAGCCAAGUCGCGUGAGGGAUGAAGGUCCUAUGGAUCGUAAACCUCUUUUAUAAGGGAAUAAAGUGCGGGACGUGUCCCGUUUUGUAUGUACCUUAUGAAUAAGGAUCGGCUAACUCCGUGCCAGCAGCCGCGGUAAUACGGAGGAUCCGAGCGUUAUCCGGGUUUAUUGGGUUUAAGGGGUGCGUAGGCGGCUUUUUAAGUCAGCGGUAAAAGUUUGGGGCCAAACAUAGGAAUGCCGUUGAAACUUGGGGGCUUGAGUAUGUUUGAGGCAGGCGGAAUGCGUGGUGUAGCGGUGAAAUGCUUAGAUAUCACGCAGAACCCCGAUUGCGAAGGCAGCCUGCCAAGCCAUGACUGACGCUGAGGCACGAAAGCGUGGGGAUCAAACAGGAUUAGAUACCCUGGUAGUC